RNAcentral lists this transfer RNA (74 nucleotides) under Aliivibrio sp. RNAcentral describes it as "tRNA-Met". It matches the Rfam family "tRNA". From Rfam's summary of the family: Transfer RNA (tRNA) molecules are approximately 80 nucleotides in length. Their secondary structure includes four short double-helical elements and three loops (D, anti-codon, and T loops). Lineage: Bacteria; Pseudomonadati; Pseudomonadota; Gammaproteobacteria; Vibrionales; Vibrionaceae. RNAcentral also lists the same sequence under 1 other name. The record is from RNAcentral.
GGCGGAGAAGAGAAAAUGGUUGUCUCGUCAGGCUCAUAAUCUGAAGAUUGUAGGUUCGAGUCCUACCUCCGCUC